Transfer RNA from Loxodonta africana (African savanna elephant), 71 nucleotides. It matches the Rfam family "tRNA". Rfam says of the family: Transfer RNA (tRNA) molecules are approximately 80 nucleotides in length. Lineage: Eukaryota; Metazoa; Chordata; Mammalia; Proboscidea; Elephantidae. The record is from Rfam.
ACAUUGGUGGUUCAGCGGUAGAAUUCUUUCCUUCUGUGCAGGAGACCUGGGUUCAGUUCCCAGCCAGUGCU